CGAUCCCAGCGGAGUGGUUAACGCGCAGCCCUGCUAAGGCUGUCUCUUCGGAGGCGUGUGUUCGAAUCACACAGGUGUCGA
This 81-nucleotide transfer RNA is filed under the name Cladosporium sphaerospermum UM 843. Its description in RNAcentral is "tRNA-Ser (GCT) (tRNA-Ser-GCT-1-1)". The stretch from base 8 to 72 matches the Rfam family "tRNA", at positions 9 to 63 of the family's 71-position model. From Rfam's summary of the family: Transfer RNA (tRNA) molecules are approximately 80 nucleotides in length. Their secondary structure includes four short double-helical elements and three loops (D, anti-codon, and T loops). Lineage: Eukaryota; Fungi; Ascomycota; Dothideomycetes; Cladosporiales; Cladosporiaceae. The record is from RNAcentral.